AGAACCAUUGUUCAGCUCUAGGGGAGAGGAGGUUGAAGUUCUAAGAGUCUUCUCUGAAGCACUGGUGCGAAACCUUUUCCCUCAGUCUCUAUGGGGACUGGCAGUCAGCCACUGUGCCUUAAAUGAGAUUGUUGCCUUAAAAGGUAAACCCCACAACAUAAGCCUAUCAGUGCCUCAGUUUUCUCUCAUAGCUCAACUUUUGAAAACGAGAAUAAAUUAGCAUCAAACAUUGUCAUUCCAUCAUGGAUAGAGGUACUGCACAUACUGUGCUACAACUAAAAUAAGGGCUCUCCUUAGAGGAAAGCUAAAACAGUGUGUCGAAACCUACUGAUAAUGGUUUGUGGCUCUGAUCACAGGAGUCAGUGAAAUGAGUUGAACAAUUACAUUUAUGGCUUAGUAAUGGUAAGGGAUUUUACUGUUGUAGAUAAAAUAUUAACUUCUAUAUUCUGCAUCUGUAACUUUAUUGGAUUAAAUGAGCCUUGAAAUGUAUCACUUUUUUUAUUGCCCGGGAGACAUGGACAGUGGUGGAUACUGGAGGUGUCCAUUAGUAUAACAGUGAAACCAGUGGAAAGUGUCACAGUAAUUCUGAGACUAAGUGUGUGGAUUUCUUCCUAUGUAUAUUGAACAUGGCUUUGUCCUACCAUAAUAGUUUACUCUGUAUAGCCCUUCACAUUGACUUUGUCAUCCGUGCCCUAAGUGCUGGACCUGCUGGUGCGGUGGCUAUCAGACCCAGACAACCUCAACCAGCUGGUGGUGAGUCGGCUGGAUGGAGUGACCCCCAAGAGCUCUGUGGAAGAGCUGUGUGAGUCUAACUCUGACGGGGCCUCUCCAGCCGCCCUGGAGAGCCAGACCAGUGAUGCCCAACAAAUUGAAGGAAGGCUGGUCUAAAAUCCUUGACAAGAUGAAAUCGAAGAAAGAUAAAAGGAAGAAGAUGAAGAAAAAGGAGCAGGUGCUGGUGGUCAGAGCCAAGUCUAUCCAGGAUUGUUCAUCAAAGGAAAGUGAAGGUAGUAGCCGGGAGUGUUCCAUCCAGAGGCAGCAGGACCCCGACAGCGAGGAUGGUGAUCUGGAGAGCUACUUGACCAGCGUACAAGAAGAAAUGAUGGAAUUCAAGCUGUCAUAUGAGAUGUGGCGGGUUGGCCACUGGGCUGUCAGCGUCCCUCAUAUGGAGAGGGAAAAUGAGGAGAUGUGUUUUACAGUUCACCUAGAAGAGAGGGAUAACCCUGAGAACCUUCACUGGGAUGUAAAGAAGACCCAGACGGACAUCAUCCAUUUCUGCAACCUAUGGCAGGACUCUGCUAAUUUACCCUCCCUAUCCGUGUUAGAGGCAAGCACUGAGAGUAACAGCGAGGAUUUUAGAGAAGCCAAAACGUCCCUCAAGGUCUUCUUACAGGAGCUGGUCUCUGAUGCUCUGAUGGGCCACACUCAGCCAGUGUUUCAGUUUCUGUGUCCUCUGGACAAGCUGCUGAGUGAAGAGGAGCAUGUAGGGGGAGUGUGGGGUCUCCUUAGUGGCCUGGCCUACUUCCUGUCUCCAGGGCAAGAGGAAGAUGAGGACAAGCACAACACUCUUCAAAGAGGGACCAAAUCAGAUGAUUCCAACACACCUGAGAAUGCAGACUCAACUGCAACUGAGAAGCUGAAUGAAAACAUUGGUGAUACAAGGGAUGGUUCUCUUUCAGAACCAAGUCCCAUUGAGUGCUGCAGAGGUAAAGUGAUGGUGCCAGUAGAGAAAUCAGACUGUUUGGUUAAUGCAGGCAAAACCGAGGACACAAAAGAGGAAUCGGAGAACCCUGUAACUUCUCACCUAAAGAUGAUCAACAAAGAACUAUCCAGAUCAGAGGAGUGUCUGGCCCAAACAAAAUCCGACAACCCUGAAGACCAGACCGACUCUGUCUGUAGGCCGCGACAUUUCAGUCAAAAUGGAGGCUCGCAAUAUGACCUCGCUGACAGUCCGUCAUGGUGUUAUUUAGUUGGAAAGUCAAAUAAAAAGGAUAAACUCACUUUCAAAAUGUCAGGAGGGAUCCACAGGAGUAGAGUAAAGGACAUGGGGAGUCAGUCAAAAUUAGAAGACUCGCAGUGUUUGAAAAAGAACCAAUCCAGCUGGGAGCAAAUGGAAGCAACCAAAGCCAUUUUUGAUUUGUUGAAAGCAAUAUCUGGUAAUUCCAUCCUCCUGAACAUAUUUGAUGCGAUUCUGAAACCCGUCAUGCCGAUAUUGAAAAAGAAAGUGAAAAGCUUCUUGAAUAAGAUGAACCCAACGGAUGCCCAGAUGGCCUCCUAUAUCGAUAACCUAUGUGACAAACAGUGGCCUGAGGGCUCGCCAGAGGUGACCAGCCCUAAACCCCACCGCAGCAGUCAGGAAAAGAACGAGACCAAAGACCGAGCUCAGCACCUCAUCAAUGCCAGAUAUUCAAACUAUUUAAUCUUGAAGAAGACUGAUAUGGAGACAGUGUUUAAGCUCUUCCAGGACUGUGAAGAAAACAAGAAGCUGGUCUAUAUGCUGCUUUCAUUCCUUUUGAGAGAGCUUCUGCCGGGUGAGGAUGCCCUUAAUGUGAGUGCCAUAACCCUGCAGAAAGUGAACGCCAACUAACUCAUUUUAAGAUGUUCACAGGUCAUGCUUUUAAAUUAACUGUAGUUCUGAUGUUUUAGAAAAUUAAACAAUUUAUUUGAUUGGUUGUCAUGCCUUAACAGUCCCAUUUAAGUCUACACUUGGUGGGAGUAUUAUAAUAAAGAAAUCUUAUGAUACAUUUCCAGAGAAGUAUAUUUUACCUCAUACAUUAAACAUGCUGUGAAUCAUGCCUAUUAUUUAAAAUGUAUCAUAUGUUGACGUGUUAUGUAUUUGGCAAUAUCAGCACACUAAUGUGAGGUUAUUCAAGUUAAAACAUCCUCUACCGGUGACAAUGGCGUACAUCGUUAAUCUCAGAGGGGGCAUAAAUGUACUUUGAUUUCACUGGUAGUGACACACAGAGCACUUUGAAUAAAAUGUUGAAGUUUUGACCUAAAGGGUUUUGAGCACUUUGAGCACUUUCAUAGUUGAUGGGGAGACGUGUUAUAUCAGAAGCUUUUGAGGAAAGUUGUUAAUAUUUUGUUAUUGGAUUUUGAGAAUUUCCAGAAAUUACAUACGCACCUGCCUUCUAAAAGAAAGCUUGCAAGACACUGAAUGUGAAAAUUAAGUGUCUUGUUAAUAAAGCUAUUUUAUAUAUAUCUAUAUUAGAUUUUCCUUGCUUCUUUGGCUGCGUUUACACAGCAAGCCCAAUUCUGUUUUGUUUUUUAACCAAUUGGCCUUUGACCAAUCAGAUCAGCUCUGAAAAAGAGCUGAUGUGAUAUGAUUGGUCGUAAGACCAAAUCAUGGAGAGAAAAAAGUCAUAAUUGGGCUGCCUGUUAACACAGCCUCAGACAUAUGCCUGGUAUGCUUUAGAUUGUGUGGUAGGUAUAUUCUGUCUUCUGAUUCUUCCAGUCCUGCCAUAUGGGAUUAAUGAGUUUUAACGAGUUUUUCUAUGUUGAGCAUUUUUAUGUUCACAAAAAAAAAUGGAUCAUUAAAGUAACUGUUUAGCGUUUCUAGAUGUCUAUGAAAUAGAACCUUAGAAAAUGAGUGAAAUUGUUUUCCUUCACAAAAAUGUAAGAAUAUUAAAAGGCAGCUUUUCUUUGUUGGAAUACUGUGUGUAUACCCCAUCAACAGAAUGGUGUGGGCGUAUACCGGUUGAUAGAAAUAUUAACCCAUGUAGAUGCCUGAUUGGCCAGUUCAUCCUCUUCAGGAGGAUAACAUCAUCCUCUGAGUAAAGGGCAAGUAUUUUUAAACUGUCUGAGAUGUGGGUUCGAAGUGCUUUGGCCACAUGAGUAUAGGAUGAGUCAAGAACUUUAUUUGGGUAUGAGUUAACAGAAUAUAAACUUAUAAAAGUCAGAUUUCACUGAACAGUUUCUUUAAAGCCCACAUGCAGUCUUUUUAAAAUUAUUUUUAAAUCACUAUGUGCAUGAAAAUAACUUUCUUAUCAACUUUAAAUAUAUUUACAUACACAGCCCUGAUUGGCAGAUAUAAUUGUCUAGACCAUGGUUUUUCAAACUCUUAUCUGUGAAAGUGUUGGUUUUUGCCCUAGCACUACACAGCUGAUUCAAAUAACCAACUCAUAAUCAAGCAUUAACUAUUUGAAUCAGCUGUGUAGUGCUAGGGCAAAAACCAAAAUAUGCACCCGGGGGGGGCCACAGGACCAAGUUUGGGAAGCCCUGCUCUAGAGAAGUGAUUCACAAACUUUAUUUGGUUACUGUACCCCAAAUCACAUUACAUUUGCUCUGUCUGGAGAACCCACAAAGUACCCCCUCAUGUUCAUGUUACCAGUAGGCCUAUGGUCACUCAUGAGUUUUCCCGAGUACUUCCUGUGGAUAGCACAAGUACCCCAGGUUGGGAACCACUGCUAUAAAACCAACCCUGCUUACCCCAUCAAAGAAGGAGGAUACGUAUGCAAAUAAAAGAUGACUGGUUAUUGGUCUGAAUAAUCAGAUCAUAUUGUGAUGUCAUGCUGUGGACCAAAAACUCCAUCUCACCUGAACUGGCUGAAUUAUAACAUUUUUGCUCGAAAAACUCUUACACUAAAAGAGCAUUAUCAACAUUUUGCAAAUUCCAGAGUGUUAUUUCGACCUCAUAGUGUGGAAAUGUCAUAAAAAAAAAAUGGAAAUCACAUUGUUAACUGCACUGCACCUUUAAUGCUAUGCCUAAUGAUGAUACCCAAGUAAUAUUUGGGUAUCAUCAAAAUAGUAAUAUUGAUCUAGC
This 4759-nucleotide long non-coding RNA is filed under the name Oncorhynchus kisutch (coho salmon). RNAcentral's name for it is "lncRNA (ENSOKIG00005016779.1)". The record is from RNAcentral. Lineage: Eukaryota; Metazoa; Chordata; Actinopteri; Salmoniformes; Salmonidae.